This 253-nucleotide ribosomal RNA is filed under the name uncultured bacterium. Its description in RNAcentral is "partial 16S ribosomal RNA". It matches the Rfam family "Bacterial small subunit ribosomal RNA", at positions 524 to 776 of the family's 1533-position model. The record is from RNAcentral.
UACAGAGGGGGCAAGCGUUGUUCGGAAUUACUGGGCGUAAAGGGCGCGUAGGUGGCCCGCUAAGUCGAACGUGAAAUCCCCGAGCUCAACUCGGGAACUGCGUCCGAUACUGGUGGGCUUGAAUCCGGGAGAGGGAUGCGGAAUUCCAGGUGUAGCGGUGAAAUGCGUAGAUAUCUGGAGGAACACCGGUGGCGAAGGCGGCAUCCUGGACCGGCAUUGACGCUGAGGCGCGAAAGCCAGGGGAGCAAACGGG